GGGGAAUUAGCUCAAGUGGUAGAGCGCUCGCUUCGCAUGCGAGAGGUAGUGGGAUCAAUACCCGCAUUCUCCA
This is a non-coding RNA of Chelonia mydas (Green sea turtle), 73 nucleotides long. NCBI's taxonomy places the organism in Eukaryota, Metazoa, Chordata, Testudines, Cheloniidae. The record is from Rfam.